UCGGUUUGGAAAUUAAGUCAGGUAAAAAUCGAAGCGAAAGCAUGUGGAAUUUAAAUUGCAUUGAGUAAGAUAACCUAUCGCUCAGUGUAGUGUCCUUGGAUUAGCCAACAAGAAGUAGGUAUUCAUUGCAUUAUUGGCAUUAAUUGCUCAGCCAGCAAAAACCGCACUUUCCAAUCUCCUUGAUCUGGCAUUCGAAAUUCCAUCGUCAUCGUCAUCGUCAUCUAAACAAUGUGUAAUUGGUAAUUUAUGGUAAAUACAUAUGUAUAUGUUUAUAUGGUA
Drosophila serrata is the source of this 279-nucleotide long non-coding RNA. RefSeq lists it as uncharacterized. The record is from RefSeq and is a predicted model, not a curated record. Lineage: Eukaryota; Metazoa; Arthropoda; Insecta; Diptera; Drosophilidae.